Molecule: ribosomal RNA, 501 nt
Filed under: uncultured bacterium
Lineage: Bacteria
Description: partial 16S ribosomal RNA
Rfam family: Bacterial small subunit ribosomal RNA
Source: RNAcentral
GAUGAACGCUGGCGGCGUACCUAAUACAUGCAAGUCGAACGGCAGCACGGGUGCUUGCACCUGGUGGCGAGUGGCGAACGGGUGAGUAAUACAUCGGAACGUACCUUAUCGUGGGGGAUAACGCAGCGAAAGCUGUGCUAAUACCGCAUACGCCCUGCGGGGGAAAGCGGGGGAUCGCAAGACCUCGCGCGAUUAGAGCGGCCGAUGCCUGAUUAGCUUGUUGGUGGGGUAAAAGCCCACCAAGGCGACGUUCAGUAGCUGGUCUGAGAGGACGAUCAGCCACACUGGGACUGAGACACGGCCCAGACUCCUACGGGAGGCAGCAGUGGGAAAUUUUGGACAAUGGGGGCAACCCUGAUCCAGCAAUGCCGCGUGAGUGAAGAAGGCCUUCGGGUUGUAAAGCUCUUUUGUCAGGGAAGAAACACCGGCUCUAACACAGUCUGGGAAUGACGGUACCUGAAGAAUAAGCACCGGCUAACUACGUGCCAGCAGCCGCGGUAA